RNAcentral lists this ribosomal RNA (331 nucleotides) under uncultured eukaryote. Its description in RNAcentral is "partial 18S ribosomal RNA". It matches the Rfam family "Eukaryotic small subunit ribosomal RNA", at positions 1470 to 1796 of the family's 1831-position model. The record is from RNAcentral.
CCCUUAGAUGUCCUGGGCCGCACGCGCGCUACACUGAGUGUCUGAGAUAUGAGGCAUGCCUGGUCCGGCAAGGUCUAGGUAAUCACGAAAAGGCACAUCAUGCUUGGGAUUGAUUAUUGCAAAUUUUAAUCAUGAACGAGGAAUUCCUAGUAAGUGCAAGUCAACAGCUUGCGUUGAUUACGUCCCUGCCCUUUGUACACACCGCCCGUCGCUCCUACCGAUUGAAUGUGUUGGUGAGGAGUUCGGAUUGGCAAUGGGCGGUGGUUUUCCACUGCCUAUGGCUGAGAAGUUCUCCAAACCGCCCCAUUUAGAGGAAGGAGAAGUCGUAACA